CAGCCGCCGCGGUAAUACCGGCGGCCCGAGUGGCGGUCACUAUUAUUGGGCUUAAAGCGUCCGUAGCCGGGUUGGGAAGUCCUCCGGGAAAUCUGGCCGCUUAACGGUCAGAAUGCCGGAGGAUACUCCCAGCCUAGGGAGCGGGAGAGGCCGAGGGUAUUCCCGGAGUAGGGGUGAAAUCCUAUAAUCCCGGGAGGACCACCUGUGGCGAACGCGCUCGGCUGGAACGCGUCCGACGGUGAGGGACGAAGGCCAGGGGAGCAAACCGGAUUAGAUACCCGGGUAGUCCUGGCUGUAAACGAUGCGGACUUUGUGUCGGACAAGCUAUGAGCUUGUCCGGUGCCGGAGGGAAACCGUUAAGUCCGCCGCCUGGGGAGUACGGCCGCAAGGCUGAAACUUAAAGGAAUUGGCGGG
Molecule: ribosomal RNA, 414 nt
Filed under: uncultured microorganism
Description: bacterial SSU rRNA
Rfam family: Archaeal small subunit ribosomal RNA
Source: RNAcentral